Molecule: ribosomal RNA, 255 nt
Filed under: uncultured bacterium
Lineage: Bacteria
Description: partial 16S ribosomal RNA
Rfam family: Bacterial small subunit ribosomal RNA
Source: RNAcentral
UGCAGAGGUCUCAAGCGUUGUUCGGAUUCAUUGGGCGUAAAGGGCGCGUAGGCGGCCACCGCAAGUCAGUUGUGAAAUCUCUGGGCUUAACCCAGAACGGUCAGCUGAUACUGCGGGGCUAGAGUGCAGAAGGGGCAACUGGAAUUCUCGGUGUAGCGGUGAAAUGCGUAGAUAUCGAGAGGAACACCUGCGGCGAAGGCGGGUUGCUGGGCUGACACUGACGCUGACAGCGCGAAAGCUAGGGGAGCGAACGGG